UUAGAACCAUUUUCCCUGCAGAGGCGUCUGUGGAUAGUGUGUCCCUCAGUAGCAAGAUCAAAGGCUAUUCUAUCCCCAGCAGGUCUAAGGAUCUUAAUUCCCCAGCAGGCCUGGAAGUGGGUGUGUCCCCAGCUAGUUUGAAGAUUGUUAAUCCCCACCGAGUUGGAAGGUUGUUAUAUCCCCAACGGAGGUCUCAGUGAGUAGUUUAUUCCCCAGCAGUCGGGUAUGAAGUACUGUAUCCCCAGCAUGGUCUGG
This 255-nucleotide long non-coding RNA is filed under the name Lathyrus oleraceus (garden pea). RNAcentral describes it as "Pisum sativum (pea) long non-coding RNA (PSAT_LNC000584)". The record is from RNAcentral. Lineage: Eukaryota; Viridiplantae; Streptophyta; Magnoliopsida; Fabales; Fabaceae.